GGCGGCGUGCCUAACACAUGCAAGUCGAGCGGCAGCGCGGGGGCAACCCUGGCGGCGAGCGGCGGACGGGUGAGCAAUGCUUGGGAAUCUGCCUAUUAGUGGGGGACAACCCGGGGAAACUCGGGCUAAUACCGCAUACGCACUACGGUGGAAAGCUGGGGACCGCAAGGCCUGGCGCUAAUAGAUGAGCCCAAGUCGGAUUAGCUAGUUGGUGAGGUAAUGGCUCACCAAGGCGACGAUCCGUAGCUGGUCUGAGAGGACGACCAGCCACACCGGAACUGAGACACGGUCCGGACUCCUACGGGAGGCAGCAGUGGGGAAUAUUGGACAAUGGGCGAAAGCCUGAUCCAGCGACGCCGCGUGGGUGAAGAAGGCCUGCGGGUUGUAAAGCCCUUUCGGUGGGGAAGAAAAGCCUCGACCUAAUACGUCGGGGUCUUGACGUAACCCAUAGAAGAAGCACCGGCUAACUCUGUGCCAGCAGCCGCGGUAAUACAGAGGGUGCGAGCGUUAAUCGGAAUUACUGGGCGUAAAGCGCGCGUAGGCGGCUUUGCAAGUCGGGUGUGAAAUCCCCAGGCUUAACCUGGGAACUGCACUCGAGACUGCAUUGCUAGAGUAUGGGAGAGGGAAAGUG
This 631-nucleotide ribosomal RNA is filed under the name uncultured yard-trimming-compost bacterium. RNAcentral describes it as "bacterial SSU rRNA". It matches the Rfam family "Bacterial small subunit ribosomal RNA", at positions 38 to 664 of the family's 1533-position model. The record is from RNAcentral.